RNAcentral lists this ribosomal RNA (402 nucleotides) under uncultured prokaryote. Its description in RNAcentral is "bacterial SSU rRNA". It matches the Rfam family "Bacterial small subunit ribosomal RNA", at positions 355 to 774 of the family's 1533-position model. The record is from RNAcentral.
UAGGGAAUAUUAGAAAUGGACGAAAGUCUGAUCUAGCAACACCGCGUGUGCGAAGAAGGCCUUCGGGUCGUAAAGCACUUUUUGGAAGGAAUAGGAAGGAAUGUACUUCCAGAAUAAGUCUCGGCUAACUACGUGCCAGCAGCCGCGGUAACACGUAGGAGGCAAACGUUAUCCGGAUUUACUGGGCGUAAAGCGCGUGUAGGUGGUUCUGUAAGUAGGGCGUGAAAGCUCCUGGCUCAACUGAGAGAGGCCGUUCUAAACUGCAGAGCUAGAGGAUGGUAGAGGGAGGUGCAAUUACGGGUGUAGCGGUGGAAUGCGCAGAUAUCCGGAGGAACACCAGUGGCGAAAGCGGCCUCCUGGACCAUUCCUGACACUCAGACGCGAAAGCUAGGGUAGCAAACG